CUCAGGGUUACUGCUGAUUCUUCUCGUUAUGUAUCAUGUCUGCCUCUCUCCAUCUCUGUGCUCAGGAACUGAAUGGUCAAGGCCACUGCUCAUCUGGGCCCUGCAGGGCCAGCCUGGAUCUUGCUACAACUCCAAAGGCCUUGAAGAGGACUUCAUGGGCCCUGUGCGCCAUCACUGAGCUGCCUUGUUGGAUUUGGGUCCCACCGCCUACCAUUUAUUCCUCUGAGCAGCCUACGAGUACCAUCUGCCCUUCUAGAAUGCAUGUUGCGGUUCCGAGGCAUGGGAAGGUGCCACUGGUGGGAGAGCCCAGAGAUUUGGUACUGAAGUGGUUGAUGUGCUGA
RNAcentral lists this long non-coding RNA (341 nucleotides) under Fukomys damarensis (Damara mole-rat). RNAcentral's name for it is "lncRNA (ENSFDAG00000031978.1)". The record is from RNAcentral. Lineage: Eukaryota; Metazoa; Chordata; Mammalia; Rodentia; Bathyergidae.